GAUAGCUCAGCUGGAAGAGCAUCAGAUUGUUAAUCUGACUGUCGAAGGUUCGAUCCCUUCUCCAUUGG
Molecule: transfer RNA, 68 nt
Filed under: Mesorhizobium cantuariense
Lineage: Bacteria; Pseudomonadati; Pseudomonadota; Alphaproteobacteria; Hyphomicrobiales; Phyllobacteriaceae
Also listed under: 1 other name
Description: tRNA-Asn
Rfam family: tRNA
About the family: Transfer RNA (tRNA) molecules are approximately 80 nucleotides in length.
Source: RNAcentral